RNAcentral lists this long non-coding RNA (1493 nucleotides) under Numida meleagris (helmeted guineafowl). RNAcentral's name for it is "lncRNA (ENSNMEG00000019039.1)". Lineage: Eukaryota; Metazoa; Chordata; Aves; Galliformes; Numididae. The record is from RNAcentral.
AUGAAACAUGGAGUCUGCUACAGGGCAUCUCUGCCUUCUGAAACUUUCUCCAGUACCUUCAACACAAGACUAGUGUUUUUCUCUGUGCCCAGUCUUGGGAUCCCAAAUAUCAAGGACAAACAGGGUGUCCUCUCAGCAGUGGCUGCUAUGAUGGGUGUUGUUGUGCAUGAUGAGCAGCAUCAAGGGAGCACCUGGGAACAGAUCCUGUGGCUCCUCCAGCAAUGCCAGGAGGUCCAAGAUAGCUUCCAGGUGACAGAGCAGCAAGAGGAGCUUCACUUCUUGGCCUUCAGCCUGUACAUGGCCCUGGCUGCCUCUGCCAAAGGGAUGACCAUGUUCUUCAGCAGAGAAGGGAGGGAGAUGUGGGUCAGCAUCUUCCUGCAUCUCCGGGACCCCAGCCUUGCAGUCUCCAGCGUAAGAGCCCCCAGAAUUUAUCUGCAAACCCACAGAAAGGUGCAGGACCCCAGCUGAGCUGUUUGGCUGCUGCAAACCUCAGCUGAAAACCUCGCAACCAUUCAUUUGGCACAACACUGUGACGCAUGCAAAACAGUCAGAUGCAUCUUGUGUUGCAAGUAGUCUGAGGGUACUGACUGGUCUGGGCCGCUGUCCUGGCUGCCCUCCCACAAGCAAGAAGAGACCUGAGGCAUCUCCUGGGUUGAAGCUGUCCCCAGCGCUGUGGCUGGACAACUACCUGUCACCUGCUUCACCAGUGAAGAGAGAAAUGGGGUGGAGCUAGCAACAGUCACUGCCAGGCAGUCAAGUGGUGACCAAAGCCUGUGUGGUCAGCACUGCAAUGGUGCAAGAAGAGGGGGCAAAGAGGGCUCGAGGUUGCAAAGCCUCCUCAAUAUUCAGGAGCAUUGCAGAGACUGCUUUGACGUGAAUGCAAAUGCCAGUAAUGCUUCCUCCUCCUCCGGAGCUGACAUUUACCAAGCAGAGCUCUCUUCUUUGACCUCUCUCUGUAAACAUUGACAUUGCAUUCACAUGGAUAAUAGAUUUCUGUCUGUUUUACCACAGCUGAAUGUUUCCACUGGGAAUGUUAUUGCUUCUUAUGGUUGGAAAUGCACCUGCACCAGCUGUGAGGCUGAGCAUAAAGCCCAUGCCAGCCCAAAUCCCCAAGUCUCUUAACAGACCACAGCUGCCUCAUUACCAUGAAGCCCCCAUUCAUCUUGAGAUGGCAGGAAAGAAAUAUUGUCCCAACACUUCCUCUUCCUUGGGAAAAAAAAAAAGUAACUAAAAAGAAAAAAACACCAAAUUUGCUUGCUUUCCUCUUAAAUCACUUUUUAAAUCACUGCAUCACUCUGAAGGAUGCAGUCCCAAGGCAAGUAUUCAGUCUGAAAAAAAGACUUGCCCAGCACCUGGGUACAUAACCUGUGCUGUCCUCCAAACAGCCCUGUGGUGAUGCUUGAGUGAGCUUGUGCCCCAGAGGAGGAACAACCUGGGCUUUUGGUUUUCCAGUAGCAAAUCUGGCUGUUGAUAGCUAUUUCUCUCUAGAAUAG